RNAcentral lists this ribosomal RNA (163 nucleotides) under Atrema americanum. RNAcentral describes it as "Bifora americana 5.8S ribosomal RNA". It matches the Rfam family "5.8S ribosomal RNA". From Rfam's summary of the family: 5.8S ribosomal RNA (5.8S rRNA) is a component of the large subunit of the eukaryotic ribosome. It is transcribed by RNA polymerase I as part of the 45S precursor that also contains 18S and 28S rRNA. Functionally, it is thought that 5.8S rRNA may be involved in ribosome translocation. The record is from RNAcentral. Lineage: Eukaryota; Viridiplantae; Streptophyta; Magnoliopsida; Apiales; Apiaceae.
AAACGACUCUCGGCAACGGAUAUCCCGGCUCUCGCAUCGAUGAAGAACGUAGCGAAAUGCGAUACUUGGUGUGAAUUGCAGAAUCCCGUGAACCAUCGAGUCUUUGAACGCAAGUUGCGCCCGAGGCCAUUUGGUUAAGGGCACGUCUGCCUGGGUGUCACGU